GGGUUGUGAGGUUAAGCGACUAAGCGUACACGGUGGAUGCCCUGGCAGUCAGAGGCGAUGAAGGACGUGCUAAUCUGCGAUAAGCGUCGGUAAGGUGAUAUGAACCGUUAUAACCGGCGAUUUCCGAAUGGGGAAACCCAGUGUGUUUCGACACACUAUCAUUAACUGAAUCCAUAGGUUAAUGAGGCGAACCGGGGGAACUGAAACAUCUAAGUACCCCGAGGAAAAGAAAUCAACCGAGAUUCCCCCAGUAGCGGCGAGCGAACGGGGAGCAGCCCAGAGCCUGAAUCAGUGUGUGUGUUAGUGGAAGCGUCUGGAAAGGCGCGCGAUACAGGGUGACAGCCCCGUACACAAAAAUGCACAUGCUGUGAGCUCGAUGAGUAGGGCGGGACACGUGGUAUCCUGUCUGAAUAUGGGGGGACCAUCCUCCAAGGCUAAAUACUCCUGACUGACCGAUAGUGAACCAGUACCGUGAGGGAAAGGCGAAAAGAACCCCGGCGAGGGGAGUGAAAAAGAACCUGAAACCGUGUACGUACAAGCAGUGGGAGCCUCUUUAUGGGGUGACUGCGUACCUUUUGUAUAAUGGGUCAGCGACUUAUAUUCUGUAGCAAGGUUAACCGAAUAGGGGAGCCGAAGGGAAACCGAGUCUUAACUGGGCGUUAAGUUGCAGGGUAUAGACCCGAAACCCGGUGAUCUAGCCAUGGGCAGGUUGAAGGUUGGGUAACACUAACUGGAGGACCGAACCGACUAAUGUUGAAAAAUUAGCGGAUGACUUGUGGCUGGGGGUGAAAGGCCAAUCAAACCGGGAGAUAGCUGGUUCUCCCCGAAAGCUAUUUAGGUAGCGCCUCGUGAAUUCAUCUCCGGGGGUAG
RNAcentral lists this ribosomal RNA (870 nucleotides) under Shigella boydii. Its description in RNAcentral is "partial 23S ribosomal RNA". It matches the Rfam family "Bacterial large subunit ribosomal RNA", at positions 1 to 905 of the family's 2925-position model. Lineage: Bacteria; Pseudomonadati; Pseudomonadota; Gammaproteobacteria; Enterobacterales; Enterobacteriaceae. The record is from RNAcentral.